GGGCGUGCUCAGCAAAUACACCAACCUCCUCCAGGGCUGGCAGAACAGGUACUUCGUACUGGAUUUCGAGGCUGGCAUCCUGCAGUAUUUUGUGAAUGAGCAAAGCAAACACCAGAAGCCUCGAGGAGUCCUGUCUUUAUCUGGAGCCAUAGUGUCCCUGAGCGAUGAAGCUCCCCACAUGCUGGUGGUGUACUCUGCUAAUGGAGAGAUGUUUAAACUGAGAGGUGCGUUCUUCUCCCGGUAACUUUUCAGACAGGCCUCUAGUUGCCAAGGUGAUGGCUCUCUUGGUUUUCGAUUUUUUGUUUUUUUAAAUUGCCUCUGACAGUUUGCUGUGUUUGGAGGACUCUGUGGUGACACACAUUGCCUCUCUUAUCCCUGGGGUGGGGAGAUGGAGCUGACAUUAGGAAUUACUUGUCCUAAUUAACUGAGGAAUUAAGGACAAAGGAAAGGUGAGUGAUUCCCAAAGCAGUGCG
RNAcentral lists this small RNA (473 nucleotides) under Pongo abelii (Sumatran orangutan). Its description in RNAcentral is "retained intron". The record is from RNAcentral. Lineage: Eukaryota; Metazoa; Chordata; Mammalia; Primates; Hominidae.